Molecule: long non-coding RNA, 768 nt
Organism: Symsagittifera roscoffensis
Lineage: Eukaryota; Metazoa; Xenacoelomorpha; Acoela; Convolutidae
Exons: 3
Source: RefSeq, a predicted model, not a curated record
UUGCUGUUUAUCUUUUUAUUUAGUUCUUUAAUGUUGCAUCACAUUCGUUCCAUCAUAUUUACUAAAAAUUUUGACAUAUCAGUAUUUUAAUUGGCUAGAGUUUCUCUGCAUUAUUUGAUUAUCCAACUAAAACAGGCCAUAUGUUCAUCAAGCUACCGGCUUUAUUCGCUUUGUUUUCCUUAGUGGCUAAAGGUGCUUCGUUUAGGAUUAACCCUCCUUGUGUUAUCUCAUAUUCUGCGAACUUCAGCUUCCAAGUAAAUAAUGUGCCAUUGCUGUCAUUGAUUUCGUUGCCUGUUCCUGUUUAUGGUGCUGUGGCUUACAAGUGGCGCAAUACAGGGAACAAGGACAGAACAAAGCAGGUCUCUCUGCAAUAGCUUACUACAACAAAGUCACAAACUUUAGAAAUCAUCACAUCAAGCAACUCAACUGGAUAUACGCAAAACGCAUUCCAUCUUUAUGUGCAAGCGUCAUCCUUCAAGUGGGCUAUGGGCCGGGACCCCUCUUCAUUAGAGAAGAUAUUGGUGGCGAAGAAAACUUCAUUUACCCCCUAGUGUUAAACCGAGAACUCUCUAGAGUCACACGAGGCCAAUUGAGGUCAUAUUUGACUUACGAGUGGUUUAAAAUCAGCGUGAUUUGUACCGAGCAGUCUUGGUUAUGCGAAGAGGUUGAGCCAACGAUAGAAAACGAUGAUUUAGAGUUUCAUUUUGACCAAUACGAAAGUACCCGCAAUCAAUUCAGACGCUUAUAAACAAGAAAUUAAACUUCGAA